Molecule: transfer RNA, 76 nt
Filed under: Nitrosomonas sp.
Lineage: Bacteria; Pseudomonadati; Pseudomonadota; Betaproteobacteria; Nitrosomonadales; Nitrosomonadaceae
Also listed under: 1 other name
Description: tRNA-Asn
Rfam family: tRNA
About the family: Transfer RNA (tRNA) molecules are approximately 80 nucleotides in length.
Source: RNAcentral
UCCCUGAUAGCUCAGUUGGUAGAGCAACGGACUGUUAAUCCGCAGGUCCCAGGUUCGAGCCCUGGUCAGGGAGCCA